RNAcentral lists this ribosomal RNA (3090 nucleotides) under Salmonella enterica subsp. enterica. RNAcentral's name for it is "23S ribosomal RNA". It matches the Rfam family "Bacterial large subunit ribosomal RNA". The record is from RNAcentral. Lineage: Bacteria; Pseudomonadati; Pseudomonadota; Gammaproteobacteria; Enterobacterales; Enterobacteriaceae.
UUAAGCGACUAAGCGUACACGGUGGAUGCCCUGGCAGUCAGAGGCGAUGAAGGGCGUGCUAAUCUGCGAUAAGCGCCGGUAAGGUGAUAUGAACCGUUAUAACCGGCGAUACCCGAAUGGGGAAACCCAGUGUGAUUCGUCACACUAUCAUUAACUGAAUCCAUAGGUUAAUGAGGCGAACCGGGGGAACUGAAACAUCUAAGUACCCCGAGGAAAAGAAAUCAACCGAGAUUCCCCCAGUAGCGGCGAGCGAACGGGGAGGAGCCCAGAGCCUGAAUCAGCAUGUGUGUUAGUGGAAGCGUCUGGAAAGGCGCGCGAUACAGGGUGACAGCCCCGUACACAAAAGCGCAUGUGCUGUGAGCUCGAUGAGUAGGGCGGGACACGUGGUAUCCUGUCUGAAUAUGGGGGGACCAUCCUCCAAGGCUAAAUACUCCUGACUGACCGAUAGUGAACCAGUACCGUGAGGGAAAGGCGAAAAGAACCCCGGCGAGGGGAGUGAAAAAGAACCUGAAACCGUGUACGUACAAGCAGUGGGAGCCCCACCACCAAAGCAUUCUCUGGUGUUGAAGGCCCUGCAAAGCAGCAUCGCGGUGGCGGAGCGUCGUUUGCGACGCCCAACACACAAAACAAGCGGUGAGUGCUUUGGGGUGGGGUGACUGCGUACCUUUUGUAUAAUGGGUCAGCGACUUAUAUUCUGUAGCAAGGUUAACCGAAUAGGGGAGCCGGAGGGAAACCGAGUCUUAAUUGGGCGUUAAGUUGCAGGGUAUAGACCCGAAACCCGGUGAUCUAGCCAUGGGCAGGUUGAAGGUUGGGUAACACUAACUGGAGGACCGAACCGACUAAUGUUGAAAAAUUAGCGGAUGACCUGUGGCUGGGGGUGAAAGGCCAAUCAAACCGGGAGAUAGCUGGUUCUCCCCGAAAGCUAUUUAGGUAGCGCCUCGUGAAUUCAUCUCCGGGGGUAGAGCACUGUUUCGGCUAGGGGGCCAUCCCGGCUUACCAACCCGAUGCAAACUGCGAAUACCGGAGAAUGUUAUCACGGGAGACACACGGCGGGUGCUAACGUCCGUCGUGAAGAGGGAAACAACCCAGACCGCCAGCUAAGGUCCCAAAGUCAUGGUUAAGUGGGAAACGAUGUGGGAAGGCCCAGACAGCCAGGAUGUUGGCUUAGAAGCAGCCAUCAUUUAAAGAAAGCGUAAUAGCUCACUGGUCGAGUCGGCCUGCGCGGAAGAUGUAACGGGGCUAAACCAUGCACCGAAGCUGCGGCAGCGAACGUAUCACCCAAGACAACUUUACGGAGUUGACGAUUGACGGAGCGAAGCGACGUCAAAGCGUUCAUUAAAGUCGAGUUGGCUUAGGGAUACGUUCGUUGGGUAGGGGAGCGUUCUGUAAGCCUGUGAAGGUGGCCUGUGAGGGUUGCUGGAGGUAUCAGAAGUGCGAAUGCUGACAUAAGUAACGAUAAAGCGGGUGAAAAGCCCGCUCGCCGGAAGACCAAGGGUUCCUGUCCAACGUUAAUCGGGGCAGGGUGAGUCGACCCCUAAGGCGAGGCCGAAAGGCGUAGUCGAUGGGAAACAGGUUAAUAUUCCUGUACUUGGUGUUACUGCGAAGGGGGGACGGAGAAGGCUAUGUUGGCCGGGCGACGGUUGUCCCGGUUUAAGCGUGUAGGUGUGUGUUCCAGGUAAAUCCGGUUCACUUUAACACUGAGGCGUGAUGACGAGGCACUACGGUGCUGAAGCAACAAAUGCCCUGCUUCCAGGAAAAGCCUCUAAGCAUCAGGUAACAUCAAAUCGUACCCCAAACCGACACAGGUGGUCAGGUAGAGAAUACCAAGGCGCUUGAGAGAACUCGGGUGAAGGAACUAGGCAAAAUGGUGCCGUAACUUCGGGAGAAGGCACGCUGACACGUAGGUGAAGUGAUUUACUCACGGAGCUGAAGUCAGUCGAAGAUACCAGCUGGCUGCAACUGUUUAUUAAAAACACAGCACUGUGCAAACACGAAAGUGGACGUAUACGGUGUGACGCCUGCCCGGUGCCGGAAGGUUAAUUGAUGGGGUCAGCGCAAGCGAAGCUCCUGAUCGAAGCCCCGGUAAACGGCGGCCGUAACUAUAACGGUCCUAAGGUAGCGAAAUUCCUUGUCGGGUAAGUUCCGACCUGCACGAAUGGCGUAAUGAUGGCCAGGCUGUCUCCACCCGAGACUCAGUGAAAUUGAACUCGCUGUGAAGAUGCAGUGUACCCGCGGCAAGACGGAAAGACCCCGUGAACCUUUACUAUAGCUUGACACUGAACAUUGAGCCUUGAUGUGUAGGAUAGGUGGGAGGCUUUGAAGUGUGGACGCCAGUCUGCAUGGAGCCGACCUUGAAAUACCACCCUUUAAUGUUUGAUGUUCUAACGUGGACCCGUAAUCCGGGUUGCGGACAGUGUCUGGUGGGUAGUUUGACUGGGGCGGUCUCCUCCUAAAGAGUAACGGAGGAGCACGAAGGUUGGCUAAUCCUGGUCGGACAUCAGGAGGUUAGUGCAAUGGCAUAAGCCAGCUUGACUGCGAGCGUGACGGCGCGAGCAGGUGCGAAAGCAGGUCAUAGUGAUCCGGUGGUUCUGAAUGGAAGGGCCAUCGCUCAACGGAUAAAAGGUACUCCGGGGAUAACAGGCUGAUACCGCCCAAGAGUUCAUAUCGACGGCGGUGUUUGGCACCUCGAUGUCGGCUCAUCACAUCCUGGGGCUGAAGUAGGUCCCAAGGGUAUGGCUGUUCGCCAUUUAAAGUGGUACGCGAGCUGGGUUUAGAACGUCGUGAGACAGUUCGGUCCCUAUCUGCCGUGGGCGCUGGAGAACUGAGGGGGGCUGCUCCUAGUACGAGAGGACCGGAGUGGACGCAUCACUGGUGUUCGGGUUGUCAUGCCAAUGGCACUGCCCGGUAGCUAAAUGCGGAAGAGAUAAGUGCUGAAAGCAUCUAAGCACGAAACUUGCCCCGAGAUGAGUUCUCCCUGAGACUUAGAGUCUCCUGAAGGAACGUUGAAGACGACGACGUUGAUAGGCCGGGUGUGUAAGCGCAGCGAUGCGUUGAGCUAACCGGUACUAAUGAACCGUGAGGCUUAACCUU